Molecule: ribosomal RNA, 459 nt
Filed under: uncultured bacterium
Lineage: Bacteria
Description: partial 16S ribosomal RNA
Rfam family: Bacterial small subunit ribosomal RNA
Source: RNAcentral
CCUACGGGUGGCUGCAGUGAGGAAUAUUGGUCAAUGGCCGGAAGGCUGAACCAGCCAAGCCGCGUGAAGGACGAAGGUGCCAAGCAUUGUAAACUUCUUUUGUCAAGGGACAAAAUCAGGCUCGAGCGCCUGACCGUGUGUACUUGAAGAACAAGCAUCGGCUAACUCCGUGCCAGCAGCCGCGGUAAUACGGAGGAUGCGAGCGUUAUCCGGAUUUAUUGGGUUUAAAGGGUGCGUAGGCGGGCUGUUAAGUCAGCGGUAAAAGCCCGGGGCUCAACCCCGGCGAGCCGUUGAAACUGGGGGUCUUGAGAUGUCGCGGGGUAGGCGGAAUGCGCAGUGUAGCGGUGAAAUGCUUAGAUAUUGCGCAGAACUCCGAUUGCGAAGGCAGCAUACCGGCGGCGAUCUGACGCUGAGGCACGAAAGCGUGGGUAUCGAACAGGAUUAGAUACCCUUGUAGUC